AGAGUUUGAUCCUGGCUCAGAUUGAACGCUGGCGGCAGGCCUAACACAUGCAAGUCGAACGGUAACAGGAAGCAGCUUGCUGCUUUGCUGACGAGUGGCGGACGGGUGAGUAAUGUCUGGGAAACUGCCCGAUGGAGGGGGAUAACUACUGGAAACGGUAGCUAAUACCGCAUAACGUCGCAAGACCAAAGAGGGGGACCUUAGGGCCUCUUGCCAUCGGAUGUGCCCAGAUGGGAUUAGCUAGUAGGUGGGGUAACGGCUCACCUAGGCGACGAUCCCUAGCUGGUCUGAGAGGAUGACCAGCCACACUGGAACUGAGACACGGUCCAGACUCCUACGGGAGGCAGCAGUGGGGAAUAUUGCACAAUGGGCGCAAGCCUGAU
This 383-nucleotide ribosomal RNA is filed under the name uncultured Escherichia sp. Its description in RNAcentral is "bacterial SSU rRNA". It matches the Rfam family "Bacterial small subunit ribosomal RNA", at positions 8 to 387 of the family's 1533-position model. The record is from RNAcentral. Lineage: Bacteria; Pseudomonadati; Pseudomonadota; Gammaproteobacteria; Enterobacterales; Enterobacteriaceae.